This 316-nucleotide ribosomal RNA is filed under the name uncultured eukaryote. RNAcentral's name for it is "partial 18S ribosomal RNA". It matches the Rfam family "Eukaryotic small subunit ribosomal RNA", at positions 1470 to 1796 of the family's 1831-position model. The record is from RNAcentral.
CCCCUAGAUGUUCUGGGCCGCACGCGCGCUACACUGAACAGUUCAACAAGUCCUAACCUUGGCCGAUAGGUCUGGGUAAUCUUUGAACGCUGUUCGUGAUUGGGAUAGACCUUUGCAAUUAUGGGUCUUCAACGAGGAAUUCCUAGUAAACGCAAGUCAUCAGCUUGCAUUGAUUACGUCCCUGCCCUUUGUACACACCGCCCGUCGCACCUACCGAUUGAAUGGUCCGGUGAAAUCCUCGGAUCGAGCCGUGGGGCAACUCCGGUUCGAGAAGUUGAUUAAACCUUACCAUUUAGAGGAAGGUGAAGUCGUAACA